UCCAGACUCCUACGGGAGGCAGCAGUGGGGGAUAUUGGACAAUGGGGGAAACCCUGAUGCAGCAACGCCGCGUGAGUGAAGAAGUAUUUCGAUAUGUAAAGCUCUCUCAGCAGGGAAGAAGAUGACGGUACCUGAGUAAGAAGCCCCGGCUAACUACGUGCCAGCAGCCGCGGUAAUACGUAGGGGGCAAGCGUUAUCCGGAUUUACUGGGUGUAAAGGGAGCGUAGACGGCAAUACAAGUCGGAAGUGAAAUACCCGGGCUUAACCUGGGAACUGCUUUGGAAACUGUAUGGCUGGAGUGCUGGAGAGGUAAGCGGAAUUCCUAGUGUAGCGGUGAAAUGCGUAGAUAUUAGGAGGAACACCAGUGGCGAAGGCGGCUUACUGGACAGUAACUGACGUUGAGGCUCGAAAGCGUGGGGAGCAAACAGGAUUAGAUACCCCGGUAC
This 446-nucleotide ribosomal RNA is filed under the name uncultured bacterium. RNAcentral describes it as "bacterial SSU rRNA". It matches the Rfam family "Bacterial small subunit ribosomal RNA", at positions 330 to 793 of the family's 1533-position model. The record is from RNAcentral.